GGUCCGUAAACUUUGUGGUGUUC
This 23-nucleotide non-coding RNA is filed under the name Arabidopsis thaliana (thale cress). Lineage: Eukaryota; Viridiplantae; Streptophyta; Magnoliopsida; Brassicales; Brassicaceae. The record is from RNAcentral.